This 585-nucleotide ribosomal RNA is filed under the name uncultured bacterium. RNAcentral describes it as "partial 16S ribosomal RNA". It matches the Rfam family "Bacterial small subunit ribosomal RNA", at positions 355 to 1375 of the family's 1533-position model. The record is from RNAcentral.
UGGGGAAUUUUGGACAAUGGGCGAAAGCCUGAUCCAGCAAUGCCGCGUGUGUGAAGAAGGCCUUCGGGUUGUAAAGCACUUUUGUCCGGAAAGAAAUCCUUGGCUCUAAUACAGUCGGGGGAUGACGGUACCGGAAGAAUAAGCACCGGCUAACUACGUGCCAGCAGCCGCGGUAAUACGUAGGGUGCAAGCGUUAAUCGGAAUUACUGGGCGUAAAGCGUGCGCAGGCGGUUUGCUAAGACCGAUGUGAAAUCCCCGGGCUCAACCUGGGAACUGCAUUGGUGACUGGCAGGCUAGAGUAUGGCAGAGGGGGGUAGAAUUCCACGUGUAGCAGUGAAAUGCGUAGAGAUGUGGAGGAAUACCGAUGGCGAAGGCAGCCCCCUGGGCCAAUACUGACGCUCAUGCACGAAAGCGUGGGGAGCAAACAGGAUUAGAUACCCUGGUAGUCCACGCCCUAAACGAUGUCAACUAGUUGUUGGGGAUUCAUUUCCUUAGUAACGUAGCUAACGCGCGAAGUUGACCGCCUGGGGAGUACGGUCGCAAGAUUAAAACUCAAAGGAAUUGACGGGGUCAUAGCUGUUUCCU